This 443-nucleotide unclassified non-coding RNA is filed under the name Hevea brasiliensis (rubber tree). The record is from RNAcentral. Lineage: Eukaryota; Viridiplantae; Streptophyta; Magnoliopsida; Malpighiales; Euphorbiaceae.
GCAAUAAGAAAAUAAAAUAAUAAAUCAUUUUUAGUUCAAUAAUAAAACUAAAAACUAAUAAGAGUAAUGGAAUUAGCAUAAUAGCAUCUCCAAAUCUCAGCACAUAUUCACAUAUUCACAAUAAACAAAACAUCAAAAUCACAAAUUUAUAUUAAAAAAAAAAUAGCACAACACAGGGUAGGGCAAGCAGAGAGCACGGCAAAGAAAGGGGAAAAAAAAAGGCACAGCAGCAGGCCUUGGAUUAAACACAACUAGAGAGAGAGAGCAUGACAGCCCAGGAAAAAAAAAAAAGAAGAAGCUGCAGUGCCAUGGAUGACACAGAGAAAGAAAGCAGAGAAGAGAGAGAGAGAGAUAGAAGAAGAAAAAGAAGAAAGAGAGGAAGAAAGCAGCAAAUGAAAGAAGAAGAAGAAGAAAGAGAAGAAGAAAGCAACAAAUAAAACGUA